UUUAUGGAGAGUUUGAUCCUGGCUCAGGACGAACGCUGGCGGCGUGCCUAAUACAUGCAAGUCGAGCGGAGUUAUUCCUUCGGGGAUAGCUUAGCGGCGGACGGGUGAGUAACACGUAGGCAACCUGCCUGUAAGACCGGGAUAACAUUCGGAAACGAAUGCUAAUACCGGAUAUGCAAUUCGGCUGCAUGGCUGAAUUGGGAAAGACGGCGCAAGCUGUCACUUACAGAUGGGCCUGCGGUGCAUUAGCUAGUUGGUGGGGUAACGGCUCACCAAGGCGACGAUGCAUAGCCGACCUGAGAGGGUGAUCGGCCACACUGGGACUGAGACACGGCCCA
Molecule: ribosomal RNA, 338 nt
Filed under: Paenibacillus lignilyticus
Lineage: Bacteria; Bacillati; Bacillota; Bacilli; Caryophanales; Paenibacillaceae
Description: bacterial SSU rRNA
Rfam family: Bacterial small subunit ribosomal RNA
Source: RNAcentral